CACGUAGGCGGCUUUCCAAGUCAGGGGUGAAAUCCCGGGGCUCAACCCGGAACUGCCCUUGAAACUGGAUCGCUAGAAUACUGGAGAGGCAAGGUGGAAUUCCGAGUGUAGAGGUGAAAUUCGUAGAUAUUCGGAAGAACACCAGUGGCGAAGGCGACUUGCUGGACAGUGAUUGACGCUGAGGUGCGAAAGCGUGGGGAGCAAACA
Molecule: ribosomal RNA, 207 nt
Filed under: uncultured bacterium
Lineage: Bacteria
Description: partial 16S ribosomal RNA
Rfam family: Bacterial small subunit ribosomal RNA
Source: RNAcentral